CGACUCUGGUUUCUCUUCGUUUCGCACUCGCCUUUUACUAAAGACUUCCGUGGAGAGGAACGCUCACGAGUUCAACGUAUUUUUUGGAAGGGCUUUGCUUCUGGCAGAGCC
Salvelinus sp. IW2-2015 is the source of this 111-nucleotide small nuclear RNA. RefSeq annotates it as U5 spliceosomal RNA. The transcript has a single exon. NCBI's taxonomy places the organism in Eukaryota, Metazoa, Chordata, Actinopteri, Salmoniformes, Salmonidae. The record is from RefSeq and is a predicted model, not a curated record.